AUGAAUUUAUUCCAGCACUUUGGGGCAUGGAAGGCUUGGAAUUCCUUGGGAUUCCUUGGGAUGGAUUCCUUGGGAUUUUUCAGGAUGGAUUCCUCAGGAUGGAUUCCUCAGGAUGGAUCCCUCAGGAUUCUUCGGGAGUCUUUGGGAUGGAUUCCUUGGGACGGAUUUCUCGGGAUUUGUCAGGAUUCCUUGGGAUGGAUUCCUUCGCAUUCCUCGGGAUUUGUCAGGAUUCCUUGGGAUGGAUUCCUCAGGAUCCCAUGGGAUGGAUUCCUCAGGACGGAUCCCUCAGGAUGGAUUCCUCAGGACGGAUUCCUCAGGACGGAUUCCUCGGGAUGGAUUCUCCAGAAUGGAUCCCUCAGGAUGGAUU
Molecule: long non-coding RNA, 367 nt
Filed under: Junco hyemalis (dark-eyed junco)
Lineage: Eukaryota; Metazoa; Chordata; Aves; Passeriformes; Passerellidae
Description: lncRNA (ENSJHYG00000005733.1)
Source: RNAcentral